This 1339-nucleotide ribosomal RNA is filed under the name uncultured bacterium. RNAcentral describes it as "bacterial SSU rRNA". It matches the Rfam family "Bacterial small subunit ribosomal RNA", at positions 28 to 1381 of the family's 1533-position model. The record is from RNAcentral.
GACGAACGCUGGCGGCGUGCUUAACACAUGCAAGUCGAACGGAAAGGCCCUAGCUUGCUGGGGUACUCGAGUGGCGAACGGGUGAGUAACACGUGGGUGAUCUGCCUUGCACUCUGGGAUAAGCUUGGGAAACUGGGUCUAAUACCGGAUAGGAACCGUCUUUAGUGUGGUGGUUGGAAAGUUUUUUCGGUGCAAGAUGAGCUCGCGGCCUAUCAGCUUGUUGGUGGGGUAAUGGCCUACCAAGGCGUCGGCGGGUAGCCGGCCUGAGAGGGUGUACGGCCACAUUGGGACUGAGAUACGGCCCAGACUCCUACGGGAGGCAGCAGUGGGGAAUAUUGCACAAUGGGCGGAAGCCUGAUGCAGCGACGCCGCGUGGGGGAUGACGGCCUUCGGGUUGUAAACUCCUUUCGACAGGGACGAAGCGCAAGUGACGGUACCUGUAUAAGAAGCACCGGCUAACUACGUGCCAGCAGCCGCGGUAAUACGUAGGGUGCGAGCGUUGUCCGGAAUUACUGGGCGUAAAGAGCUCGUAGGUGGUUUGUCGCGUCGUCUGUGAAAUUCCGGGGCUUAACUCCGGGCGUGCAGGCGAUACGGGCAUAACUUGAGUGCUGUAGGGGAGACUGGAAUUCCUGGUGUAGCGGUGAAAUGCGCAGAUAUCAGGAGGAACACCGAUGGCGAAGGCAGGUCUCUGGGCAGUUACUGACGCUGAGGAGCGAAAGCAUGGGUAGCGAACAGGAUUAGAUACCCUGGUAGUCCAUGCCGUAAACGGUGGGCGCUAGGUGUAGGGGGCUUCCACGUCUUCUGUGCCGUAGCUAACGCAUUAAGCGCCCCGCCUGGGGAGUACGGCCGCAAGGCUAAAACUCAAAGGAAUUGACGGGGGCCCGCACAAGCGGCGGAGCAUGUGAAUUAAUUCGAUGCAACGCGAAGAACCUUACCUGGGCUUGACAUACACCAGAUCGCUGCAGAGAUGUAGUUUCCCUUGUGGUUGGUGUACAGGUGGUGCAUGGUUGUCGUCAGCUCGUGUCGUGAGAUGUUGGGUUAAGUCCCGCAACGAGCGCAACCCUUGUCUUAUGUUGCCAGCAUUUGGUUGGGGACUCAUGAGAGACUGCCGGGGUUAACUCGGAGGAAGGUGGGGAUGACGUCAAAUCAUCAUGCCCCUUAUGUCCAGGGCUUCACACAUGCUACAAUGGUCGGUACAACGUGCAGCGACACUGUGAGGUGGAGCGAAUCGCUGAAAGCCGGUCUUAGUUCGGAUUGGGGUCUGCAACUCGACCCCAUGAAGUCGGAGUCGCUAGUAAUCGUAGAUCAGCAAUGCUGCGGUGAAUACGUUCCCGGGCCU